GAGCGGAGAUAUAUGGAGCUUGCUUUAUUAACUUAGCAGCGAACGGGUGAGUAACACGUAGAUAAUCUAUCCUAUACUGGGGGAUAGCCCGAUGAAAGUUGGAUUAAUACCGCAUAUAGCUAUAUAGUUGCAUGAUUAUGUAGUGAAAGAUUUAUUGGUAUAGGAGGAGUCUGCGGCACAUUAGCUAGUAGGUGAGGUAAAGGCUUACCUAGGCGACGAUGUGUAGCCGGUCUGAGAGGAUGAACGGCCACAAUGGAACUGAGACACGGUCCAUACUCCUACGGGAGGCAGCAGUGGGGAAUAUUGCACAAUGGGGGAAACCCUGAUGCAGCAACGCCGCGUGAGUGAAGAAGGUUUUCGGAUUGUAAAGCUCUGUUAGCAGGGAAGAGGAAGGACGGUACCUGCAGAGGAAGCCACGGCUAACUACGUGCCAGCAGCCGCGGUAAUACGUAGGUGGCAAGCGUUGUUCGGAAUAACUGGGCGUAAAGGAUGCGUAGGCGGUUAAACAAGUUAUAUGUUAAAUAUAUAGGCUUAACCUGUAGAAAGCAUAUAAAACUGUUUAACUAGAGUGCAGGAGAGGUAAGUGGAAUUCCUAGUGUAGCGGUGAAAUGCGUAGAGAUUAGGAAGAACACCAGUGGCGAAGGCGACUUACUGGACUGUAACUGACGCUGAGGCAUGAGAGCAUGGGGAGCAAACAGGAUUAGAUACCCUGGUAGUCCAUGCUGUAAACGAUGGGUACUAGGUGUGGGUUGUGAAUAACAAUUCGUGCCGUCGCAAACGCAAUAAGUACCCCGCC
This 796-nucleotide ribosomal RNA is filed under the name uncultured bacterium. RNAcentral describes it as "bacterial SSU rRNA". It matches the Rfam family "Bacterial small subunit ribosomal RNA", at positions 64 to 873 of the family's 1533-position model. The record is from RNAcentral.